This 274-nucleotide ribosomal RNA is filed under the name uncultured bacterium. Its description in RNAcentral is "partial 16S ribosomal RNA". It matches the Rfam family "Bacterial small subunit ribosomal RNA", at positions 523 to 796 of the family's 1533-position model. The record is from RNAcentral.
AUACGGAGGGUGCGAGCGUUAAUCGGAAUUACUGGACGUAAAGCGUACGUAGGCGGUUGGUUAAGUUAGAUGUGAAAGCCCCGGGCUUAACCUGGGAACUGCAUUUAAAACUGGCGAACUAGAGUUGAGUAGAGGGGAGUGGAAUUUCAGGUGUAGCGGUGAAAUGCGUAGAGAUCUGAAGGAACACCAGUGGCGAAGGCGACUCCCUGGACUCGAACUGACGCUGAGGUACGAAAGCGUGGGUAGCAAACGGUAUUAGAAACCCUAGUAGUCC